GAUGAAGAACGCAGCGAAAUGCGAUAAGUAAUGUGAAUUGCAGAAUUCAGUGAAUCAUCGAAUCUUUGAACGCACCUUGCGCUCCUUGGUAUUCCGAGGAGCAUGCCUGUUUGAGUGUCAUUAAAUUCUCAACCUUAUUGGCUUUUGCUGAUAAUGGCUUGGACUUGGGGGUCUUUUUGCUGGCUUUCAUUAGUCUGCUCCCCUUAAAUGUAUUAGCCGGUGCCCCGCAGUGGAACCGUCUAUUGGUGUGAUAAUUAUCUACGCCGUGGACGUCUGCUAUAAUGGGUUUGCGCUGCUUCUAACCGUCUCUCGGGACAACACAAAUGACAAUUUGAACUCAAAUCAGGUAGGACUACCCGCUGAACUUAAGCAUAUCAAUAAGCGGAGGA
RNAcentral lists this unclassified non-coding RNA (389 nucleotides) under soil metagenome. RNAcentral describes it as "partial contains 5.8S ribosomal RNA, internal transcribed spacer 2, and large subunit ribosomal RNA". The stretch from base 1 to 120 matches the Rfam family "5.8S ribosomal RNA", at positions 35 to 154 of the family's 154-position model. The record is from RNAcentral.